RNAcentral lists this ribosomal RNA (497 nucleotides) under uncultured bacterium. RNAcentral's name for it is "partial 16S ribosomal RNA". It matches the Rfam family "Bacterial small subunit ribosomal RNA", at positions 28 to 507 of the family's 1533-position model. The record is from RNAcentral.
GAUGAACGCUGGCGGCGUGCCUAAUACAUGCAAGUCGAGCGAACAGACGAGGAGCUUGCUCCUCUGACGUUAGCGGCGGAAGGGUGAGUAACACGUGGAUAAACUACCUAUAAGACUGGGAUAACUUCGGGAAACCGGAGCUAAUACCGGAUAAUAUAUUGCACCGCAUGGUUCAAUAGUUAAAGAAGGUUUUGCUGUCACUUAUAGAUGGACCCGCGCCGCAUUCGCUAGUUGGUAAGGUAACGGCUUACCAAGGCAACGAAGCGUAGCCGACCUGAGAGGGUGAUCGGCGAGACUGGAACUGAGACACGGUCCAGACUCCUACGGAAGGCAGCAGUAGGGAAUCUUCCGCAAUGGGCGAAAGCGUGACAGAGCAACACCGCGUGAGUGAUGAUGGUCUUCGGAUCGUAAAACGCUGUUAUUAGGGAAGAACAAAUGUGUAAGUAACUAUGCACGUCUUGACGGUACCUAAUCAGAAAGCCACGGCUAACUACGUG